UGGGGAAUAUUGCACAAUGGAGGGAACUCUGAUGCAGCGACGCCGCGUGAACGAAGAAGGCUUUCGAGUCGUAAAGUUCUUUUAUAUGGGAAGAUACUGACGGUACCAUAAGAAAAAGCCCCGGCUAACUACGUGCCAGCAGCCGCGGUAAUACGUAGGGGGCUAGCGUUGUCCGGAAUCACUGGGCGUAAAGGGUUCGCAGGCGGAAAUGCAAGUCAGGUGUAAAAGGCAGUAGCUUAACUACUGUAAGCAUUUGAAACUGCAUAUCUUGAGAAGAGUAGAGGUAAGUGGAAUUUUUAGUGUAGCGGUGAAAUGCGUAGAUAUUAAAAAGAAUACCGGUGGCGAAGGCGACUUACUGGGCUCAUUCUGACGCUGAGGAACGAAAGCGUGGGUAGCAAACAGG
RNAcentral lists this ribosomal RNA (403 nucleotides) under Fusobacteriota bacterium. RNAcentral describes it as "Fusobacteria bacterium partial 16S ribosomal RNA". It matches the Rfam family "Bacterial small subunit ribosomal RNA", at positions 355 to 776 of the family's 1533-position model. Lineage: Bacteria; Fusobacteriati; Fusobacteriota. The record is from RNAcentral.